This 305-nucleotide ribosomal RNA is filed under the name uncultured bacterium. RNAcentral describes it as "bacterial SSU rRNA". It matches the Rfam family "Bacterial small subunit ribosomal RNA", at positions 334 to 657 of the family's 1533-position model. The record is from RNAcentral.
UUAACCUACGGGGGGCAGCAGUGGGGAAUAUUGCACAAUGGGGGAAACCCUGAUGCAGCGACGCCGCGUGAGCGAGGAAGUACCUCGGUAUGUAAAGCUCUGUCAGCAGGGAAGAAAAUGACAGUACCUGACCAAGAAGCCCCGGCUAACUACGUGCCAGCAGCCGCGGUAAUACGUAGGGGGCAAGCGUUAUCCGGAUUUAUUGGGUUUAAAGGGUGCGCAGGCGGAGGUGCAAGUCAGCGGUCAAAUUGCGGGGCUCAACCCCGUACUGCUGUUGAAACUGCAUCCCUUGAGUGCGCGAGAAG